AAAUUAUGGUGUGGACACUUCCUCAAUAAAUCCUUGAAUCUCUCCCAACCCUCAUACAGACUUUCUUGAUCAUGGUGAGCAAAAGUCAUUAUCUCAUUAUAAAGCU
Non-coding RNA from Jatropha curcas, 106 nucleotides. The record is from Rfam. Lineage: Eukaryota; Viridiplantae; Streptophyta; Magnoliopsida; Malpighiales; Euphorbiaceae.